GCGCCUGUAGCUCAGUCGGUAGAGCACGAGACUUUUAAUCUUGGGGUCGUGGGUUCGAGCCCCACCGGGCGCACCA
Molecule: transfer RNA, 76 nt
Filed under: Muricoccus pecuniae
Lineage: Bacteria; Pseudomonadati; Pseudomonadota; Alphaproteobacteria; Acetobacterales; Roseomonadaceae
Description: tRNA-Lys
Rfam family: tRNA
About the family: Transfer RNA (tRNA) molecules are approximately 80 nucleotides in length. Their secondary structure includes four short double-helical elements and three loops (D, anti-codon, and T loops).
Source: RNAcentral